Molecule: ribosomal RNA, 253 nt
Filed under: uncultured bacterium
Lineage: Bacteria
Description: partial 16S ribosomal RNA
Rfam family: Bacterial small subunit ribosomal RNA
Source: RNAcentral
UACGAAGGGGGCUAGCGUUGUUCGGAAUUACUGGGCGUAAAGGGCGCGUAGGCUGUGCUGUAAGUCAGGCGUGAAAGCCCCGGGCUCAACCUGGGAAUUGCGCUUGAUACUGCGGCGCUGGAAGGUGGGAGAGGAUGGCGGAAUUCCCAGUGUAGAGGUGAAAUUCGUAGAUAUUGGGAAGAACACCGGUGGCGAAGGCGGCUCACUGGCUCGUAUCUGACGCUCAGGCGCGACAGCGUGGGGAUCAAACAGG